GCCCCCAGGACUCAGCCCAGUUUGAGUGCGUGGUGAGCAAUGAGGUGGGCGAGGCCCACAGGCUGUACCAGGUGACCGUCCAUGUGCCUCCCACCAUUGCCGACGACCAGACAGACUUCACUGUGACCAUGAUGGCACCCGUGGUCCUCACAUGUCACAGCACGGGUAUACCAGCUCCGACCGUGUCCUGGAGCAAGGCAGGCGCCCAGCUAGGAGCUCGGGGGAGUGGCUAUCGUG
Molecule: long non-coding RNA, 237 nt
Filed under: Pan troglodytes (chimpanzee)
Lineage: Eukaryota; Metazoa; Chordata; Mammalia; Primates; Hominidae
Description: long non-coding RNA NONPTRT017637
Source: RNAcentral